Small nucleolar RNA from Tachyglossus aculeatus (Australian echidna), 137 nucleotides. Lineage: Eukaryota; Metazoa; Chordata; Mammalia; Monotremata; Tachyglossidae. The record is from RefSeq and is a predicted model, not a curated record.
CCCCUCUCAGGAUCGCACCUGGAGAGUUUCCAGUCCUCUACCGGUUUUGGCUACAGGAGGAAGAGUCAAGAAGAGGCUACCCAUUCCAUUCCUAGCUUGGGCAGUGGCUAGGGAGUUAAAGGCAAUCUGCUACAAGU